GAUGAACGCUGGCGGCGUGCCUAAUACAUGCCAGUCGAGCGAACAGACGAGGAGCUUUCUCCUCUGACGUUAGCGGCGGACGGGUGAGUAACACGUGGAUAACCUACCUAUAAGACUGGGAUAACUUCGGGAAACCGGAGCUAAUACCGGAUAAUAUAUUGAACCGCAUGGUUCAAUAGUGAAAGACGGUUCUGCUGUCACUUAUAGAUGGAUCCGCGCCGCAUUAGCUAGUUGGUAAGGUAACGGCUUACCAAGGCAACGAUGCGUAGCCGACCUGAGAGGGUGAUCGGCCACACUGGAACUGAGACACGGUCCAGACUCCUACGGGAGGCAGCAGUAGGGAAUCUUCCGCAAUGGGCGAAAGCCUGACGGAGCAACGCCGCGUGAGUGAUGAAGGUCUUCGGAUCGUAAAACUCUGUUAUUAGGGAAGAACAAAUGUGUAAGUAACUAUGCACGUCUUGACGGUACCUAAUCAGAAAGCCACGGCUAACUACGUG
This 497-nucleotide ribosomal RNA is filed under the name uncultured bacterium. Its description in RNAcentral is "partial 16S ribosomal RNA". It matches the Rfam family "Bacterial small subunit ribosomal RNA", at positions 28 to 507 of the family's 1533-position model. The record is from RNAcentral.